Molecule: long non-coding RNA, 530 nt
Organism: Pipistrellus kuhlii (Kuhl's pipistrelle)
Lineage: Eukaryota; Metazoa; Chordata; Mammalia; Chiroptera; Vespertilionidae
Exons: 2
Source: RefSeq, a predicted model, not a curated record
CACCUCAUUUUAUUCUUCUUGCAGUUUUCACAUGGGUUAUGGCUAGUUUACCUUUGAUUCAUUUUCCACAAUAUUAGUUUUCAAAAUGCAUGUUAGAAUCAACUGGAUUAGUUCCAAAAAUUAUGUUACUUAUGCUAAGAUUUCUUGGGCAUGGUAUAGCUUACCAUUUAAGAUCUCACUUAUAGGCUAGAAAUCUUCACUCUUAGCAACUUCAGCAAAUGCUAUGUUAGCAUUAUAGGGAGAUCAUGUAAUUUUUUAGAUUAAUUGCAAAUAUCCUCAAUGUAUUCUUAAAUAAUCUAGAAAUGACUUGUGUUGUAUUACAUAAUGAUUUGUUUGUAAUGUGUACCUAUUAAAGUUUUUUAUCCCUUAAUCUAGCAGGUAUAUUUGUGAAAUUACAAAGGGAACCCAACUUCACUAUCCUCUUAAAUACUAGUAAGACCUUAAGGAAUAGGAAUCGAUAGGCCCUUUCAUAGGCCAAAUAUAGGAAUGGGGAUGUGUGACCCAUUCAGACUCCCCAGAGAGACAUUCUU